UACGGAAGGCAGCAGUGGGGAAUAUUGCACAAUGGGCGCAAGCCUGAUGCAGCCAUGCCGCGUGUAUGAAGAAGGCCUUCGGGUUGUAAAGUACUUUCAGUCGUGAGGAAGGUGUUAAGGUUAAUAACCUUAGCAAUUGACGUUAGCGACAGAAGAAGCACCGGCUAACUCCGUGCCAGCAGCCGCGGUAAUACGGAGGGUGCGAGCGUUAAUCGGAAUUACUGGGCGUAAAGGGCACGCAGGCGGUUAAUUAAGUUGGAUGUGAAAUCCCCGGGCUUAACCUGGGAAUGGCAUUCAAGCUGGUUAGCUAGAGUCUUGUAGAGGGGGUAGAAUUCCAUGUGUAGCGGUGAAAUGCGUAGAGAUGUGGAGGAAUACCGGUGGCGAAGGCGGCCCCUGGACAAAGACUGACGCUCAUGUGCGAAAGCGUGGGGAGCGAAACAGGGAUUAGAUACC
This 453-nucleotide ribosomal RNA is filed under the name uncultured bacterium. RNAcentral's name for it is "bacterial SSU rRNA". It matches the Rfam family "Bacterial small subunit ribosomal RNA", at positions 340 to 786 of the family's 1533-position model. The record is from RNAcentral.